Long non-coding RNA from Etheostoma spectabile (orangethroat darter), 122 nucleotides. RefSeq lists it as uncharacterized. The record is from RefSeq and is a predicted model, not a curated record. NCBI's taxonomy places the organism in Eukaryota, Metazoa, Chordata, Actinopteri, Perciformes, Percidae. The transcript has 3 exons.
AUAGAAACAGGCAGUUUUGCAUUUUGCACCACUGAUUCAUGGUUAUUACACAGAAACUACCAGACGUGUUUCCAGUUAAGAAGUCACAAGAUUAAACAUAUUUUGUAAUCAUCUAUUUUGGA